This 332-nucleotide unclassified non-coding RNA is filed under the name soil metagenome. RNAcentral's name for it is "partial contains 5.8S ribosomal RNA, internal transcribed spacer 2, and large subunit ribosomal RNA". The stretch from base 1 to 120 matches the Rfam family "5.8S ribosomal RNA", at positions 35 to 154 of the family's 154-position model. The record is from RNAcentral.
GAUGAAGAACGCAGCAAAAUGCGAUAAGUAAUGUGAAUUGCAGAAUUCAGUGAAUCAUCAAAUCUUUGAACGCACAUUGCGCCCGCCAGUAUUCUGGCGGGCAUGCCUGUUCGAGCGUCAUUUCAACCCUCAAGCACAGCUUGGUGUUGGGACUCGCGUUAAUUCGCGUUCCUCAAAUUGAUUGGCGGUCACGUCGAGCUUCCAUAGCGUAGUAGUAAAACCCUCGUUACUGGUAAUCGUCGCGGCCACGCCGUUAAACCCCAACUUCUGAAUGUUGACCUCGGAUCAGGUAGGAAUACCCGCUGAACUUAAGCAUAUCAAUAAGCGGAGGA